AGGCCCGUAGCUCAGCCCGGCAGAGCGCCGGCCAAACUCCUCCCCGAAUCCUUGCCCGCUGCCCGCGGGCCGAAGGCGGAGGAUCAUCGGGAGCCGGUGGGCGCGGGUUCAAAUCCCGCCGGGCAUC
This 127-nucleotide transfer RNA is filed under the name bacterium JGI 053. Its description in RNAcentral is "tRNA_Pro_CGG". It matches the Rfam family "tRNA". Rfam says of the family: Transfer RNA (tRNA) molecules are approximately 80 nucleotides in length. Their secondary structure includes four short double-helical elements and three loops (D, anti-codon, and T loops). The record is from RNAcentral.